UUUUUUUUUUUAAUUUUUUAUUGUGGGUUGUUCAAAACAUUACAAAUUUCUUGACAUAUCAUAUUCCACACUUUGAUUCAAGUGGGUUAUGAACUCCCACCUUCACCCCAUACACAGAUUGCAGAUUCACAUCAGUUACACAUCCAUUGAUUUACAAAUUGCCAUACUAGUGUCUGUUGUGCUCCGCUGCCUUUCCCAUCAUCCACCCUAUUUCUGGUUUUUGAUUUGUCUUAAUUUCUCAUUUGUUUGAAUGUCCGUUUAGUGUAGAUCCUCCCUUUGCUGGUUUUCACUUUUUUUUCCCCACUUCAUUCUCAUGAAAUAUUUUGUUGAGAAUGCUUUGUAGUGUAGGCUUUCUAGUUAUGAAUUCUUUUAAUUUUUGCUCAUCAUGAAAUGUUUUAAUUUCAUCUUCAAAUAUGAAACUUAAUUUCACUGGCUAUAAAAUUCUUGGUUGGUAUCUGUUUUCUUUCAGAGCUUGAAAUAUAUUAUUCCUGGACCUCCUAGCUAGGAGGGUCUGGGUUGAGAAAUCAGUUGAGAUUCAAAUUGGUUUCCCCAUAUAUAUAAUUUGAUUUUUUUUCUCUCACAACCUUUAAGAUUGUGGGAGACCAACUUUGCACAUGACUGAGUUAACUCCCCUGCUGGGCGAUGUGGCAUCAGGUGGCACCCAUGCUUCUAGACAGCCCUGCUCUUCUAGAGUUCAAGUGACUGUGUCUUUGUGCAUGGGCAUGCCUUCCUACAUCCCCAUGGGUGGAGCUACACUCACCUGUUCCUAUGUAAUAUUACCGCUUGCCCUGUUUGGGAUAAAAUGUUCCAUGGAAACACCUUUUGUGUGGCCCCUUCUCUUACUGUGCUCUUGGGUGUGGCCUCCCUAGAUGCUGGUAAACCUGCUGACUGUGGACAUCAUGAAGCUAGACUCAGCCCCCUGAAGCCUGACCCCUUGCCUCAUUUGAAUAACUUCUCCUCAAUAAAAGGGGUCAACACGUGUGGGCUUUCUCUCUCUUUCUGUGGACCCUUAAGGUCAGAGGAGCCAUCACAGCAACCCCAAAGAUAAAGGUAUUUCUGUCUCUUGUGCAGUUAUUUCACACAGCCCAGUUAGCCCAGUUCCCUAGGAGUGAUCCCUGAGUGUUUUAGUCACAAGCAACAAGUGGCAUCCCUGUGUGGGCAUGAGGUCUGAGUGUUUAAGUCACUGGGAAAACUGUAUAAGAUUUUAUCUUUAUUCUCUGUUAGUCAUUCUCAUUAUAAUGUGUCUUGGUGUGAGUCUGCUAUAAUUUUGUAGCUUUGGGGUCCUGUAAGCCUCUUGUAUUUUAUUUUCCAUUUCAUUCUUUAUGUUUGGGAAAUUUUCUGCUAUUAUAUCAUUGAAAAGAUUGUGCAUUCCUUUGGUUUGUAUCUCUGCUUUUCACCUAUUCCAGUAACUUUUAAAUUUGGUCUUUUCAUGUUAUCCCA
Molecule: long non-coding RNA, 1440 nt
Filed under: Marmota monax (woodchuck)
Lineage: Eukaryota; Metazoa; Chordata; Mammalia; Rodentia; Sciuridae
Source: RNAcentral